RNAcentral lists this unclassified non-coding RNA (2242 nucleotides) under Drosophila melanogaster (fruit fly). RNAcentral describes it as "Z3 cDNA". Lineage: Eukaryota; Metazoa; Arthropoda; Insecta; Diptera; Drosophilidae. The record is from RNAcentral.
UUUUCGAUUUCGCGCUGAACAACAAACAGGGUAUCGAAUGCGGGAGAUUACAAGUCCCGGUAUUUAUCAGGUUUUACUCAGCCAAAACCACCGCCCACCGCCCACCGCCCACCCUGUCCGCGCCCCAAAAGUGGAGGCACGCGAGCAUUUGCCGCUUAUCACCGGCGAUUGUCUGAUAAGCGGACUGCAGCCAAGUAGUUCGUUUGCCAAUACACGGUUACUAUCCCCCCAGAUAGUCACCCUAUAUUUGCCAACAUGUGUAGCUACAUGCUGGCACUGAAAGAAAUUGGGUUCGCUUGGCAUAAUACUAUAUGCUUGCCACUUUAUGGUUUAUGCUAAAAGAGGUAUAUGAUGGUUUUUAUGUGUGAAAUAAAAUGUGAAAAUUAGUUUAGGUGCAAGUUAUACGUUAUACGUUAUACGUUGCUAGUUGCGCUAUAUCGGUGCCAGAACAAAAUGUGUGCUAAGAUACCAGCUAAGGCGAAGAACAGCAGUAUCUUAUCGCCAUAAAAAAAAAGGGGCGGGGGUAGUGAAAGUGGAGUGGGUGGCGGUGGGAUGACCACCCAGUUGGUGGGGGAGCGGUGGUUGAGUUUCAAAGUGCGAAACAGCUAAAACAAGUGUUCAAUUCAAGCACCAUGCGACAACAUUUCCAAUUAGCCAGCAGUUAGUGGGGUGGUUGCGUUGCGGCCAGAAGUCGGCUUAGCACAGUCAAGACCCCCUAAGAGGGCCGACAUUGAAGUUGCUGAUAUAUAUAAUCGGCACGCUUCCCACCAGCUUAUCUUCGUGUUACUUUAAUGAAAUUUUAAGUGUCGAUGUGUAAAAAUAGCCUUGUUAUUGAUUAGCGCCAUAAACGAGCUAUUAGGCUUUUAUGGCGGACUUCCAGUUUCCUUGGACGAUUUGGUGCUAUUGAACAACAAACUAAUAAUCAGAAUUGUGGGAAGACAGAUUACGCCUGCCAACCGACUAAUAUAGUUGAUUUAAAGGGUUUAGUAUCGCCCACACAAGUGUUACAAUGACUUUCGAUUUGUUGAUUUAUUAGUCAGUGGUUAGUGUUUCGCAGAAACGACUUAGAUCUUUAAAAAUCAGAUUUUACUGUACUGUGAAGUUAAAUCGUAUUAUCGAACCAGUUGUUCGCCUGCUAGAGUUUCACUUGAAAACCAAUUCCAAAUUGCAUUUGGCAACUGCCACGCGCCCAUCGGGGGAUUCUAAAUGGUUGCAGCCAUUUCAGAUGUUACCUUGAAUUUGAUAUGCAAUCAAAAGGUAUCGCAGCCUUUCCAGAAACUGGCAAACAAUUAACAGUUGCUCGCACGGCAGCACAAAUGCAGUGACACACCGAAGGCCAAGGUCCUUCGGGCGAUUGACUAAACGGCCAAGGACACUCGGCGAGCAUAAAAAUCCUGUUGUUCACGGGACAAAUAUUUACAACGGCAACUGUUCCGCUACCGAAGUCGUAUACAUAUAUCCAGUGACAUUGAAAUCUUUUGCCAUUCCUGCAAGGAGCUGCAAAGAGUACCGUGGAGUGCCAGCAGAGCGCAACUAAAACGCAUUUUAUGUGGAUUUGGAUCUGGCUAUCAGACCGAAUGACUUACUGGCCGCUGUGCGUGAAUUUCAGCUGCUAAACAAUUCGUUGUGGCCAUUUAAAAGGCUCGAAAGUCGGACUGCUAGCUGCGUGGCCCUGACUGUGGGUGUGUUGCACUUCCCUCCGCCGGUUGCAUAAACAAAUUGCGAAAUUUCAGCAGUCGCCAUGCAAUGCAGCUACUCCUAACCGAAACGAACAAAUGCAUCGUAAAGUACUGGAGCUUAUGACAAGUCAUUGGCUCAGGUAAUUACCGGCGAAUGUGUCUAGGGCAACACUUCUCUUCAGACCUUUUCAGCGCUGAACUGUUGUAUCUGCGGUAUCUGAAGUUGAAUCUUGAAUGCCACGGGAUUAGACGAGCAGCAGAGCAGCAGAGCAGCAGAAACCGCAGCGGACAGAUGGAUAUGGAUGUGGACAAAAGAAUGCGUCAAAAGCCGCAGCAUAAGUUCUAAAAUUUCAUAAAUUGUAGCAACAAUGGGGCUGAGGGCAAAGCCAAUGGGUAAUCCGAUAUGAUUAUUGACAUGCAUGCAGCACUGCCAGUCCUCCAGACUCCAUACGCCAGCUCCUCACUCCCUGAUCUUCCAGACAUGCACAUCACCAUCAAAUCAACUCCACUCAAAUCAAAUCAAAGUAAGCCCUCAGCCGAGCCAUUCUAAUAGAGCAUUAUGA